AGCGGCCCAAGGGACGGCUGGAGCGGAGCGGAGCGGCUCACAGGUCGGUGAGCGGAGCGGAGCGGCUCACAGGUCGGUGAGCGGAGCGGAGCAGCUGCCAGAGCAGUUCGUGGGACGGCAGGAGUGGGACUGCGGGUGGAGUGGAGCAGUUCGUGAUGAAGGCUGCGGUGGAACCCCACGGAGAAGCAGCCGGUUGGCCUCGGAUCACGUAAGGUGCCCCUUAACACCCUGCUCACCCCCCCCUUUGAACUCUGGGGCUGCACUGAUCAUGGACAGAGACUCUGGGGGGUUGUUGGACUUUUGGGACUUUUGUGAUUCUUGGGUUGCUGGACCCAAGAGACUUUGGGAUUGGUGGACUUUUGGGACUUUGGUGAUUCUUGGGUCGCUGGUUUCAAGAACCAACGGGAGAGGACACGGCCCAAUUUGCUGGGGUGGGUCUUCGCUCAUGGUUUGGUCUAAGAACUCUAGUUGUGGUGUUUUUCCAAUUUAAUGUUGAUGUUGUUUACCUCAUGUUAUUAAACAUUUUCUGUUA
Malaclemys terrapin pileata is the source of this 532-nucleotide long non-coding RNA. RefSeq lists it as uncharacterized. The record is from RefSeq and is a predicted model, not a curated record. NCBI's taxonomy places the organism in Eukaryota, Metazoa, Chordata, Testudines, Emydidae. The transcript is spliced from 2 exons.